Molecule: ribosomal RNA, 265 nt
Filed under: uncultured Staphylococcus sp.
Lineage: Bacteria; Bacillati; Bacillota; Bacilli; Caryophanales; Staphylococcaceae
Description: partial 16S ribosomal RNA
Rfam family: Bacterial small subunit ribosomal RNA
Source: RNAcentral
CGGCGGACGGGUGAGUAACACGUGGAUAACCUACCUAUAAGACUGGGAUAACUUCGGGAAACCGGAGCUAAUACCGGAUAAUAUAUUGAACCGCAUGGUUCAAUAGUGAAAGACGGUUUUGCUGUCACUUAUAGAUGGAUCCGCGCCGCAUUAGCUAGUUGGUAAGGUAACGGCUUACCAAGGCAACGAUGCGUAGCCGACCUGAGAGGGUGAUCGGCCACACUGGAACUGAGACACGGUCCAGACUCCUACGGGAGGCAGCAGU